Molecule: long non-coding RNA, 278 nt
Filed under: Olea europaea (common olive)
Lineage: Eukaryota; Viridiplantae; Streptophyta; Magnoliopsida; Lamiales; Oleaceae
Description: long non-coding RNA (OEUR_LNC012424)
Source: RNAcentral
CAUUUUUUGGGAGAAAUGUAUUUUGGAAUAGUUAUUUUUUUGAAGAAUGUGUGGUUAAAAAUAAAGUUUAAUUUUACGUGUAAAAUUAUUUUAUAGGAAAAUGUGUGGUUGAAAAUGAGUUUUGAGAAAAAUGAGGAUCAAACAGGGGGCUCUAAAUACAACUGAAUGACCACUCCACUGCAUUUUGAAAUAUCUUGUCUUUCAACAGAGAUUCAGAUGAAAUUCAGCAGAAUCCCCUCAUAUAAGAAAUAUUACUCUCUUUUCCUCUUCUUUUUGUG